This 229-nucleotide unclassified non-coding RNA is filed under the name Hevea brasiliensis (rubber tree). The record is from RNAcentral. Lineage: Eukaryota; Viridiplantae; Streptophyta; Magnoliopsida; Malpighiales; Euphorbiaceae.
UGAGGCGUCGAUUCAACUGCCGAUACAGAAACCAUCCGCUUGGGCGACUCCAUAGCCUUCAAAGAAACCCUUCCGCCGCGAGAUGACAUCAUAGAGUUCUUCAUAGGAGUUGAUUUCCCUCUCUGCUCCAUUAAAACUUAGUGGAGGAGCCGACAAUUCACACGGUGGCGCCGCCGUACUGGCUCAGUUAUAAACCGGCGAAUUACCUGGCGGCCGCCGCCAUGCACCG